Molecule: ribosomal RNA, 332 nt
Filed under: uncultured eukaryote
Lineage: Eukaryota
Description: partial 18S ribosomal RNA
Rfam family: Eukaryotic small subunit ribosomal RNA
Source: RNAcentral
CCCUUAGAUGUCCUGGGCUGCACGCGCGCUACACUGGAAGUUACGGAUUGAGAUACUACCUUGUCCGAAAUGGUCCGGGUAAUCACCUAAAAGCUUGUCAUAAUUGGAAUGGAUUAUUGUAACUAGUAAUCCUGAACGAGGAAUUCCUAAUAAGUCCCAGUCAACAGCUGGUACUGAUUACGUCCCUGCCCUUUGUACACACCGCCCGUCGCUACUACUGAUUGGACGUUUAAGCAAGAUUUUUAAACACUGACAGUGUGUAGUUCACGCUAUACUACAGUGAGAAGAAGAAGAUCGAGCUUACUUGUCUAGAGGAAGUAAAAGUCGUAACA